AGAGUUUGAUCAUGGCUCAGAGCGAACGCUGGCGGCGUGCCUAACACAUGCAAGUUGAACGUGAAAGGGAGCAAUCCUGAGUAAAGUAGCGAACGGGUGAGUAACGCGUAGGUAAUCUACCCUAGAGAUUGGAAUAACCUGCCGAAAGGCGGGCUAAUACUAGAUAGAGCGACGGAAUCCGUAAUUGGGUUUUUCGGGAA
This 200-nucleotide ribosomal RNA is filed under the name uncultured bacterium. RNAcentral describes it as "partial 16S ribosomal RNA". It matches the Rfam family "Bacterial small subunit ribosomal RNA", at positions 8 to 204 of the family's 1533-position model. The record is from RNAcentral.